This 280-nucleotide ribosomal RNA is filed under the name Chaetoceros affinis. RNAcentral's name for it is "partial Bacterial small subunit ribosomal RNA". It matches the Rfam family "Bacterial small subunit ribosomal RNA", at positions 353 to 625 of the family's 1533-position model. The record is from RNAcentral. Lineage: Eukaryota; Bacillariophyta; Thalassiosirophyceae; Chaetocerotales; Chaetocerotaceae.
AGUGGGGAAUAUUGGACAAUGGGCGAAAGCCUGAUCCAGCCAUGCCGCGUGUGUGAAGAAGGCCUUCGGGUUGUAAAGCACUUUCAAUAGGGAGGAAAGGUUGUAGCUUAAUACGCUGCAACUGUGACGUUACCUAUAGAAGAAGCACCGGCUAACUCCGUGCCAGCAGCCGCGGUAAUACGGAGGGUGCGAGCGUUAAUCGGAAUUACUGGGCGUAAAGCGCGCGUAGGUGGUUCGUUAAGUUGGAUGUGAAAUCCCCGGGCUCAACCUGGGAACUGCA